RNAcentral lists this unclassified non-coding RNA (344 nucleotides) under soil metagenome. RNAcentral's name for it is "partial contains 5.8S ribosomal RNA, internal transcribed spacer 2, and large subunit ribosomal RNA". The stretch from base 1 to 120 matches the Rfam family "5.8S ribosomal RNA", at positions 35 to 154 of the family's 154-position model. The record is from RNAcentral.
GAUGAAGAACGAAGCGAAAUGCGAUAAGUAAUGUGAAUUGCAGAAUUCAGUGAAUCAUCGAAUCUUUGAACGCACAUUGCGCCCGCCAGUAUUCUGGCGGGCAUGCCUGUUCGAGCGUCAUUUCAACCCUCAAGCCCCCGGGCUUGGUGUUGGGGAUCGGCGUGCCCUCGCGGCGCGCCGUCCCCUAAAUCUAGUGGCGGUCUCGCUGUAGCUUCCUCUGCGUAGUAGCAACACUCGCACUGGAUCGCAGCGCGGCCACGCCGUUAAACCCCCCACUUCUGAAAGUUUGACCUCGGAUCAGGUAGGAAUACCCGCUGAACUUAAGCAUAUCAAUAAGCGGAGGA